This 1080-nucleotide ribosomal RNA is filed under the name uncultured bacterium. RNAcentral describes it as "bacterial SSU rRNA". It matches the Rfam family "Bacterial small subunit ribosomal RNA", at positions 65 to 1141 of the family's 1533-position model. The record is from RNAcentral.
AGGGGCAGCGCGGUAGUAGCAAUACUACUGGCGGCGACCGGCAGAAGGGUGCGUAACACGUGAGCAACCUGCCCGUGACAGGGGGAUAACCGACGGAAACGUCGCCUAAUACCCCGUAACAACAUAGGAGGCAUCUCCAGUGUUUGAAAGACACGUCAGUCACGGAUGGGCUCGCGGUACAUUAGCUGGUUGGCGGGGUAACGGCCCACCAAGGCGACGAUGUAUAGGGGUUCUGAGGGGAAGGUCCCCCACACUGGAACUGAGACACGGUCCAGACUCCUACGGGAGGCAGCAGUGAGGAAUAUUGGACAAUGGAGGCAACUCUGAUCCAGCCAUGCCGCGUGAAGGAAUAAGGCCCUAUGGGUCGUAAACUUCUUUUGACGCAGAGCAAUAAGGACUACGUGUAGUCUGAUGAGAGUAUGCGUCGAAUAAGCAUCGGCUAACUCCGUGCCAGCAGCCGCGGUAACACGGAGGAUGCGAGCGUUAUCCGGAUUUAUUGGGUUUAAAGGGUGCGUAGGCUGAAGAUCAAGUCAGCGGUGAAAUGUCCCGGCUCAACCGGGGCCUUGCCGUUGAAACUGGUCAUCUGGAAUGCGGAUGCCGUGGGAGGAAUGUGUGGUGUAGCGGCGAAAUGCAUAGAUAUCACACAGAACACCGAUUGCGAAGGCAUCUCACGAAUCCGCUAUUGACGCUGAGGCACGAAAGCGUGGGGAUCAAACAGGAUUAGAUACCCUGGUAGUCCACGCAGUAAACGAUGAUGACUAACUGCCGGCGAUACAGUGUCGGUGGCCAAGCGAAAGCGAUAAGUCAUCCACCUGGGGAGUACGACCGCAAGGUUGAAACUCAAAGGAAUUGACGGGGGCCCGCACAAGCGGAGGAACAUGUGGUUUAAUUCGAUGAUACGCGAGGAACCUUACCCGGGCUCGAACGGCAGGUGAACGACACAGAGAUGUGAAGGUCCUACGGGACGCCUGUCGAGGUGCUGCAUGGUUGUCGUCAGCUCGUGCCGUGAGGUGUCGGCUUAAGUGCCAUAACGAGCGCAACCCUUGCCGUCAGUUACCAUCAGGUGAAGCUGGGGACUCU